Molecule: ribosomal RNA, 246 nt
Filed under: uncultured bacterium
Lineage: Bacteria
Description: partial small subunit ribosomal RNA
Rfam family: Bacterial small subunit ribosomal RNA
Source: RNAcentral
AGAAUCAACGCUGGCGGCGUGCCUAACACAUGCAAGUCGCACGAGAAAGGGGAGCAAUCCCUGAGUACAGUGGCGCACGGGUGAGUAACACGUGAAUAACUCUACCUCCGAGUGGGGAAUAACUGAGAGAAAUCUUAGCUAAUACCGCAUAACACUUACGAGUCAAAGCAGCAAUGCGCUUGGAGAGGAGUUCGCGGCCGAUUAGUUAGUUGGCGGGGUAAUGGCCCACCAAGACGAUGAUCGGUA